CCUAGGGGGGCUCCAGUGAGGAAUAUUGCACAAUGGGGGGAACCCUGAUGCAGCAACGCCGCGUGGAGGAUGACGCAUUUCGGUGUGUAAACUCCUUUUAUAUGUCAAGAAAAUGACGGUAGCAUAUGAAUAAGCACCGGCUAACUCCGUGCCAGCAGCCGCGGUAAUACGGAGGGUGCAAGCGUUACUCGGAAUCACUGGGCGUAAAGGGCGCGUAGGCGGGUUGGAAAGUCAGGUGUGAAAUCCUACAGCUUAACUGUAGAACUGCACUUGAAACUUCUAAUCUAGAGUAUGGGAGGGGGAGAUGGAAUUAGUGGUGUAGGGGUAAGAUCCGUAGAUAUCACUAGGAAUACCUAAAGCGAAGGCGAUCUCCUGGAACAUUACUGACGCUAAGGCGUGAAAGCGUGGGGAGCAAACAGGAUUAGAUACCCCAGUAGUC
This 439-nucleotide ribosomal RNA is filed under the name uncultured bacterium. RNAcentral describes it as "partial 16S ribosomal RNA". It matches the Rfam family "Bacterial small subunit ribosomal RNA", at positions 338 to 795 of the family's 1533-position model. The record is from RNAcentral.